UCAAAGGUCGGUGGUGCUUGUCGAAGCUUCGCUAUGAAGAUUCCUGUCGCUCUACUCGCACUCGUCACUAUUACUGUGAUUCUUGUAGUUGUUGGAGCAACUGAGCAGAAUAAUAACGACUCGUCUUCGUCAAAUGAAGACGAGCAUUUUCUUGGAAACCGUACGGAGAAUGAAAACGAGCAUACUCCACUCGACAGAGUCC
Molecule: long non-coding RNA, 202 nt
Organism: Dermacentor silvarum
Lineage: Eukaryota; Metazoa; Arthropoda; Arachnida; Ixodida; Ixodidae
Exons: 3
Source: RefSeq, a predicted model, not a curated record